CCUACGGGAGGCAGCAGUGAGGAAUAUUGGACAAUGGGCGCAAGCCUGAUCCAGCCAUGCCGCGUGCAGGAAGACGCAUCUAUGGUGUGUAAACUGCUUUUGUACGGGAAGAAACACUCCUACGUGUAGGAGCUUGACGGUACCGUAAGAAUAAGGAUCGGCUAACUCCGUGCCAGCAGCCGCGGUAAUACGGAGGAUCCAAGCGUUAUCCGGAAUCAUUGGGUUUAAAGGGUCCGUAGGCGGUUUAGUAAGUCAGUGGUGAAAGCCCAUCGCUCAACGAUGGGACGGCCAUUGAUACUGCUAGACUUGAAUUAUUAGGAAGUAACUAGAAUAUGUAGUGUAGCGGUGAAAUGCUUAGAUAUUACAUGGAAUACCAAUUGCGAAGGCAGGUUACUACUAAUGGAUUGACGCUGAUGGACGAAAGCGUGGGGAGCGAACAGGAUUAGAUACCCUGGUAGUCCACGCCGUAAACGAUGGAUACUAGCUGUUCGGAGCAAUCUGAGUGGCUAAGCGAAAGUGAUAAGUAUCCCACCUGGGGAGUACGUUCGCAAGAAUGAAACUCAAAUGAAAUUGACGG
Molecule: ribosomal RNA, 577 nt
Filed under: uncultured bacterium
Lineage: Bacteria
Description: bacterial SSU rRNA
Rfam family: Bacterial small subunit ribosomal RNA
Source: RNAcentral